UACGUAGGGGGCGAGCGUUGUCCGGAUUUAUUGGGCGUAAAGAGCUCGUAGGCGGCUCGGUAAGUCGGAUGUGAAAUCUCCAGGCUCAACCUGGAGUCGCCAUCCGAUACUGCCGUGGCUAGAGUCCGGUAGGGGACCGUGGAAUUCCUGGUGUAGCGGUGAAAUGCACAGAUAUCAGGAGGAACACCGGUGGCGAAGGCGGCGGUCUGGGCCGGUACUGACGCUGAGGAGCGAAAGCGUGGGGAGCAAACAGG
RNAcentral lists this ribosomal RNA (254 nucleotides) under uncultured Aciditerrimonas sp. RNAcentral describes it as "partial 16S ribosomal RNA". It matches the Rfam family "Bacterial small subunit ribosomal RNA", at positions 524 to 776 of the family's 1533-position model. The record is from RNAcentral. Lineage: Bacteria; Bacillati; Actinomycetota; Acidimicrobiia; Acidimicrobiales; Acidimicrobiaceae.